AAUUUCAAAUACUUUUUUAAAAAUUGUAAAAGUAAAAGGAAAUAAAACAUUUACAAAUAACAAAACCAAUUACAAAAACAAAAAGAUGAGCCCUUGCGAUCUAUCUCAUUUCUAAUCUUCUGUAACUCUUCUAAACUCUUGAACACGUCCGCUAAGCUUCACAGUUAGACUUCCCGAAAUAUAUGUCCUCCUACGUACCUGAAAAAAAGUCUAUAGGGGUGAGCUUACGCUCAAUAGGGCCAAACCUUUUUAGGCUGUACUUAACUAUGUGGCACAAUCAAGUUAUCAAGCAACAAACAAUACUUUAAAUAAAAUAUAUAAUGACAAUUCAAUGCAUGUAUGCUAAUGAAUGCCUUCCUCAAUUACUGGCUAGUCAGUCCAUACAUUAAAGACAUAUGAACCUACGUGUCCCAUAUCAUGUAGAUGUAUUGAAUAUACGACCAACCAAUCAGUAAUAUCUCACCACCUACACCUCUUUUGUUAGUCGUCUUGUUAUACUCAUGGUCUCAAAACCCGAAACCCGAAAGAUCGUUUUAUCAAUGUCCGUCAUCAAAGGGGCAUACAUUCCCCGCAUUUGUGCACGUGUGGGCUAGCCUGGAUCUUGGACAACUUAUGAGGAAACUCAACUACAAAAAAUGUAUCUUUCUUUUCUCUCAAUCUCAUUCUCAUCUCCAUAAUCACCAAUCUCACUAAUCUCACAAUUCCUCACAAUGCAAUAUAUAUGGAAAAGAAUAUCAAUACUUGCAUUUCAAUAUCGAACACAUGCUUCUAUGAAAAGCGAUAACACCAAUCAUAUAAAUCACCGAUAUCACAUACUUUUAUCGAAAACAAUAACAACCAAGAGUUAAUCAAUCAAUGGCACACAAAUCACACAUUUCAAUUAUAAGCUGAUUAUCGUUUUAAAGAAAGGUUCCCCGAUAGAGACCCUACCUCGAAUCCAAGCGCUACUUCCGACACUAGCCAAAAUUAGUAACACAAAGACUGGCUUUCUGAAAUCUUUAUCCUUCUGCUCUUGCAAUCCAGCUACUCACCUUUGAUCCAUCCUCGUAUCGAAUCCUCAUUUCGAGAAUGUUGGCAGAUCACUUCAAAUCAAUGCGAUCAAGUCCUUGAAAUUGAGAAGGACACCCAAAUCCUUAUUUCUAAUUCCUCUCGCGUUUUUAUGAUAAAUUCCGAACCAUAUGCCAUAUGUACUCAUUUCGCAUUAUCCCCACCUUUAAAAAUCUAUAUUUGCAAUCAACAUUGUCGGCGUAUCCCAACUAUGCUCCAAACACCGAUCUAAACUUUCCAAAAUUACUCUGGACACCCAAAUCACCAUUCUCCGAUUCUAUUGACCUUCAUUCUCAUACAACCAACACACAGUAAUAACUUUCCUUCAUAGUUAGCAGAACACAACUCAAAUCUCUCCAAGUCUCCAUCACCCAAGUUUUCCAAUUUCUAUACUACAAGCAUAACAAUAGCAAUUACACUUCUUUUUCGGCUUCUUAAAAUCAAACAACUGAUAGGAGCACAAAGUGUGACGUUCUUAAUAUGUUUAUACCCUUUUAUUUACCCUUUGUUAACUCCUAUUUAGUUGUUUUAGCUUUAUAU
RNAcentral lists this long non-coding RNA (1587 nucleotides) under Fragaria vesca (wild strawberry). RNAcentral describes it as "long non-coding RNA (FVES_LNC005488)". The record is from RNAcentral. Lineage: Eukaryota; Viridiplantae; Streptophyta; Magnoliopsida; Rosales; Rosaceae.